UCUUCUCACGUACACCGCUGUUCCUUCCCGUGUUUUUCGGAGAUUGCCUAUAAUUUCAGAUUGCAUUUCCACCUCUUGGAUAUGAGCCACCUUCUCGUGAAAUGGGUUACAGAGGACUCAUGAGAUUUCUAUCCCAUCACGUGUUUGUUGGAUCAAAAAACGGCUUCAGCUAUUGCAAAGAAACCGAGCUCCGUCGGCAGCUUUACCGGUAAAGCGUUUCAUAUAAAGUGGGACGAGAAUAAGGAGCCUGACCCGGCAUAUUUGGUUGCAGCAGGUGACCUCAACAAAAUGGAGAAGCUAAGGGCGGAGCUGGCGGCGCACUCAGCGUCAACGCAUGUGGCGGACCAGGGGACGACAUCAGGGUCCCAAAAGCGCACGUCCUCUUCGCAGAAGGAGGACUGUUGCAGUCACAGAGCUGAAGUGAAGGGGCUCCGUAAGCAGGUGAAGCAUCUGAAAUCUCGUCUGGAUGAGGCUGAGAAGAGGCAUGGUUCGUACAGUGCCUGAUUAACUGUGUUGCGUCAU
This is a long non-coding RNA of Ornithodoros turicata, 522 nucleotides long. RefSeq lists it as uncharacterized. The record is from RefSeq and is a predicted model, not a curated record. The transcript has 3 exons. Lineage: Eukaryota; Metazoa; Arthropoda; Arachnida; Ixodida; Argasidae.